RNAcentral lists this ribosomal RNA (915 nucleotides) under uncultured crenarchaeote. Its description in RNAcentral is "bacterial SSU rRNA". It matches the Rfam family "Archaeal small subunit ribosomal RNA", at positions 1 to 923 of the family's 1478-position model. Lineage: Archaea; Thermoproteati; Thermoproteota. The record is from RNAcentral.
UUCCGGUUGAUCCUGCCGGACCUGACUGCUAUCGGAUUGAUAUUAAGCCAUGCGAGUCUUUGUAGUAAUACAAGGCAGACGGCUCAGUAACACGUAGUCAAUCUACCCUAUGGACGGGGAUAACCUCGGGAAACUGAGAAUAAUACCCGACAGAUCAUAAUGCCUGGAAUGGUUUAUGGUUCAAAUGAUUUUUCGCCAUAGGAUGGGACUGCGGUCUAUCAGCUUGUUGGUGAGGUAAUGGCCCACCAAGGCUAUUACAGAUACGGGCUCUGAGAGGAGAAGCCCGGAGAUGGGUACUGAGACACGGACCCAGGUCCUAUGGGGCGCAGCAGGCGAGAAAACUUUGCAAUGUGCGAAAGCACGACAAGGUUAAUCCGAGUGUUUUCUGCUAAAGAAAUCUUUUGUUAGUUCUAAAACCACUAUCGAAUAAGGGGUGGGCAAGUUCUGGUGUCAGCCGCCGCGGUAAAACCAGCACCUCAAGUGGUCAGGAUGAUUAUUGGGCCUAAAGCAUCCGUAGCCGGCUAUGUUAGUUUUCGGUUAAAUCCAUGUGCUCAACACAUGGGCUGCCGUGAAUACUGCAUAGCUAGGGAGUGGGAGAGGUAGACGGUACUCUGUAGGAAGGGGUAAAAUCCUUUGAUCUAUAGAUGACCACCAGUGGCGAAGGCGGUCUACCAGAACAUGUCCGACGGUGAGGGAUGAAAGCUGGGGGAGCAAACCGGAUUAGAUACCCGGGUAGUCCCAGCUGUAAACUAUGCAAACUCAGUGAUGCAUUGGCUUGUGGCCAGUGCAGUGCCGCAGAGAAGUCGUUAAGUUUGCCGCCUGGGAAGUACGUACGCAAGUAUGAAACUUAAAGGAAUUGGCGGGGGAGCACCACAAGGGGUGAAGCCUGCGGUUCAAUUGGAGUCAACGCCGGGA